UGAGGAACAGGGCCACAGAGACGAGCGUAUUCAGUUACGGUGAAACGCGGUAACCUCCAUCCGGAGCAAGACCAAAUAGGCAGGCGAAGAUGUUGCUCGCAGAGUCUGCGGGUAGGUUGCUUGAAUGCACGGGUAACUGUGCAUCUAGAGGAAUGACUGUCCAAGACAGAACCCGGCUUAUCGGCUAGCUUCAUCU
This 196-nucleotide RNase P RNA is filed under the name Nitrosomonas sp. Its description in RNAcentral is "partial RNase P RNA component class A". It matches the Rfam family "Bacterial RNase P class A", at positions 100 to 367 of the family's 367-position model. Rfam says of the family: Ribonuclease P (RNase P) is a ubiquitous endoribonuclease, found in archaea, bacteria and eukarya as well as chloroplasts and mitochondria. Its best characterised activity is the generation of mature 5'-ends of tRNAs by cleaving the 5'-leader elements of precursor-tRNAs. The record is from RNAcentral. Lineage: Bacteria; Pseudomonadati; Pseudomonadota; Betaproteobacteria; Nitrosomonadales; Nitrosomonadaceae.